Molecule: ribosomal RNA, 128 nt
Filed under: Clostridioides difficile
Lineage: Bacteria; Bacillati; Bacillota; Clostridia; Peptostreptococcales; Peptostreptococcaceae
Description: partial 16S ribosomal RNA
Rfam family: Bacterial small subunit ribosomal RNA
Source: RNAcentral
UUAUUUGAGAGUUUGAUCCUGGCUCAGGAUGAACGCUGGUGGCGUGCCUAACACAUGCAAGUUGAGCGAUUUACUUCGGUAAAGAGCGGCGGACGGGUGAGUAACGCGUGGGUAACCUACCCUGUACA